GAGAUAAGUGUUUUGUCAGAUUUUUCAUGUCACUGUUUAGGUGUUUGUUUCAAACCAUAUAGUGAUUUAACAAGUUUACAUAUUUUAUUUUCCUAUCCAUGCACUAUAAAUCUCUUGGGUUGUUCCAUGUAAAUUUUUUCAUCUAAUUCUCUAUUAAGGAAAGCAAUUUUAACAUCUAUUUGAUGUAUUACAAGUUUGUGCAUAGAAGCUGUGGCAAUCGAGACUCUAAUAGUAGCUAUAAGUGUCACGGGUGAAUAUGUGUCAAAGUAAUCUAUUCCCUCCUUUUGUGUAUAUCCUUUAGCUACUAAGCCUGGCUAUAAAUUUAUUUAUAGACCCAUCUGCUUUAAGCUUCUUUCUAAAUACCCAUUUACAUCCUAUAGGUUUACAUCCUCUAGGUAGAUCCACUAGUUCCCAAGUGCGAUUAGUCAUGAUUGAUUCUAGUUCACUAUUUAUUGCAUCUUUCCAGAAGUUAGCAUCUAUUGAUUUCAUAGCUUCUUGAUAUGUUUUAGGGUCUUCUUCAGUGAUACAAGCUGUGAUAAAAUAUGGUCCAAAACUGGACUCUAUUUUAGGUCUUUUACUUCUCCUAAGAUCUUGGAUAGGUAUAUCUGUAGUUGUUUCAGAUGUGGAUUUGGAAGAAGGUUGAUGUGCAGUGGAUAUAAUGUGCGCCAUAUUGUAGCUAUUUUCAAUGUCUCAGGGAACCACACCUAGGAGCAAAUGUUUUCUUAAAUAAUCUUGCAAGAUCUGGUUUUCUUCAGCUCACAGCACAUGCACACCCCAUUAUGCAACAAAGGUAUCGAUAUUGGUAACGGUUGAUGGCUAUUGAUGACUUUCAAAUUCUUUUAAUUUGACUCCCUUUUAGGGCAACAGUUUUGUUUCUAAAUUUGCCUUUAGUUUAUGUAAUUAAUGACUUUUACAUUCAUUUCACAAAUUACUUCACUAGUGUUGUGAAAGAUUUUUGGGUAGUGUUUGGGUGUGCAACCCCACACCGUAUGCACCUUAAUUCUGAACCAUUAGAUUACUUAAAUUUGAUCUUAACAAUGGUGGAAAAUAGGCAACCGGGUUAACCGGUUAACCUUUAGCUCUCCCAUCUACUCUUGGCCUCACUCUUUUGUUUCUCUCUCCGUUGCUGUCCCUCCGUUGGCUUUCCCUCUGCUGCUCUCACUUCGGUGGCGAAGGAGCUGCUCAGGGACCACCGCAGCCAUUGAUAGCAGGCUUGAAGCUUUCAGUUUCAAGAACAUCAGUCCGCUCAGAUUCCUAUGAUCGAAGAGACUCUCCGAUUCACCGGUGUUCCUGGUGAUUACAUCUGUGGCGGGAGGAUUUUGCUGCAUUCGUUCUUGGCGCAGAAUCCCUUGGACUUUGCCUGUCGAAGCCCUAGGUCACAGCCCCCCCUCUCUCUCUGUAUUUCCUAAAAUCUAGUAUAUAUUUUGGUCCAUUUUCUGAGCCUUAUUCCGGUUAUGCUUCUGUUUAUAUAUAGAAGUUGAAUUCUUAGAUAGAUCCAUGAAAAUAGCUAAAAUCUAGAAGUUGAAUUCUUAUAGCUAAAAGAUGGAAAGAAUAUUACUUCAAUCACCACUGGAGAGCAAGAAUUCUUAGAUAGAUCCACGAAAAUAGCAUUAAAUGAAGCAAAUCCAUUUCAUACGAAAGCUCCACGA
Molecule: non-coding RNA, 1649 nt
Organism: Camellia sinensis
Lineage: Eukaryota; Viridiplantae; Streptophyta; Magnoliopsida; Ericales; Theaceae
Source: RefSeq, a predicted model, not a curated record